This 2110-nucleotide long non-coding RNA is filed under the name Olea europaea subsp. europaea. The record is from RNAcentral. Lineage: Eukaryota; Viridiplantae; Streptophyta; Magnoliopsida; Lamiales; Oleaceae.
CUCUAUAACAUAGAUGGGGGUGUAAGAGAUGUUAAAUUAUUCAUGACAACUAUUGACAAACUCCAAAUAACAAGCAGCUUUGUGAAAAUUGGAAAACUACAAACGACAGUCAUUGACAUAAAAUCUCAGUAGUUGGUAGUACAUUUAUGGAUACAGGAGAUCUUAAAAAGUACACAACAACAAAUGUCUAAGGUUGAUGAAACGCAAACAGAGGAAAACGGAAAAAAAUGAAAUCACACAAACGAUAAGUUCCACGGAGACCCUUCGCCAAGGGGGAUCUAUUAUGUUGCCUAUCACGCAGUCCUCAUUGUGGUCCUCCUUGCCUGUACUGAUGCUAGUUCCACUCCAACCAAUCAAUCUUCUCGUUCCCAUCGUACUGCAUCUCCAGAAUCUCCUUCUUCCACUUUAAGAUAGAAACGUGCACAUCCAAAAGUAGAGGUCUGUUUUUUUGGCAAUCUGCCCGGCGAACAACUCCUUCAUGCAUGUCUUCAUGCCCAGAACAUCAGAUCCGACUAAGUUGUCAAGUUUCAUCGAAACUUUCUCACUUGCAGUAGUGGCUCUGUCAACCGAGUAAGACAAUUCUUUAGUUGAUAUUUUAGUUCUCUUCCCCUUUCUGUUACUGCCGCUGGAUCUACGUUUCUCACUGCUCCUACGGGCGGAGAUGUCCAUGCUUGAUUCGGGCCAUGUCGAACUUAUAGCCCUCAUCAGUGGAGCCGCUGCUCUCCUCGUACAUCGGCGUUGCGUCGCGUGUGUCGUCAUUGGCACUGUCUUCGAACAUGGCGAACCCCGUCCUGCACAGCUUUAUCGACGUCGUCGCGUACUUCUCAUUGUCGUACACAUUGUCGAACAGAACUCGGUAGGCGUAUAUCUCUCUACAGUCUUUGUCUUUGAACUCUCUGUACUCUUUGUUCUCCUGUUCGGAAUGGAAGAAAAAUAAAUGCAGAAGGAGUCAGGAGUCGGGGUACAAAAUGAAAGUUAGGAAUCAAGCAAUUGAAUUUUAUGACAUAUGCUGGAACACAAUUUUUUGAAUACGAAGGUUAUGCAAUUAUUUGGAAAGUGGCAAUUCCAACAGCUUUGUACCUUCAUUUUUUGUGCCCACCACUCGUCGGACGCGACUAGGCGGCCGCGUGUAGUGUUAGUAUGCGAUGCUGGUGCAGUCUAUCAAGUCCUGGAUACGUUUAUACUUGACUUGAAGAUAAUCCCAGUGAUUCUUCAACUGCUGCCUACUCCAAUCAUGCCCGGAGUUGGCGUUGAAAAAUUGGACAAUCACAUGCCAGCCAUGUUUCGUGAAGCACUUCCCGUUAUGGUGCCCGUAGGCUAUUAUGAUCUUACAGGCCACCAUGAAGACUCGAUUAUCCACUGGCGUCCACUGUGCAGUCCUCCUCCUAGGGGCUGGGGACGAGAUUGCUGGAGGGUUGGAAGUGGAGGUCGGGUGGAUGCCGAUCUGUGUCUGCGAACGAAAAUGAAAUAGAAGUGAGAUGCGCAGUUUUCUUACAUGUAAACGAAUAAAUCUUAACUGCAAAGUAGUACAUGGAAAUAUACAAAACAUAAAUGCUCCCUCGUUCGACAACCGGAACGACAAACGUAAUCUGCUGAACAACUCAGUCACGAAAUGAGAUUUGCAAAAAAUAACUCACGAAAUUUCGGGUCUUAUUUUUCCCCGGGCGUUCGAAAAUUCGAUUGUCAGAGCUUGCCCCAACAAAAUGGCAGUACAUACAUAUAAUAUAUAUGGAUCGGAGUACAUUUAUGGAGAGAGAACAAUUUGCAAUUUCACAGCAUCACCGAUUUCCCAUAUAGUAGUAAGUCAUGGCUGCAGAAUGUUGCACUCAAAACUUAAUUUUACAUAAUGGGUUUGCGAUUCAAGGAGAGAACCAAAGAACGGCAGAAAAAUUUCCCAACUUUUUCAGGCGAACGUGAAGCAACUAUGCAACUAAAUUAUGGAAACACGAUUUUAGAUUUCAACCACAAGAUAGUUUCUGUAAAGAAUUUGUAUACCACCUACCCUAACCCUUGAUGACUAAUAAUUGGAAAAAAUAAUAGCAUUUUCCCUUUUCCAAUUUCUAUAUCCCAAAAUUUUAGAGUUGCCCAGAAUUUUCAUGAGAAGUCGUCG